Erinaceus europaeus (western European hedgehog) is the source of this 108-nucleotide non-coding RNA. The record is from Rfam. NCBI's taxonomy places the organism in Eukaryota, Metazoa, Chordata, Mammalia, Eulipotyphla, Erinaceidae.
GUGCUUGCUUUGGCAGCACAUAUACUAAAAUUGGAACAAUACAGUGAAAAGUAGCAUGGCCCCUGCAUAAGGAUGACACAAAAAUUUGUUGUAAAUUGUUCCAUUAAA